Molecule: microRNA precursor, 117 nt
Filed under: Podarcis lilfordi (Lilford's wall lizard)
Lineage: Eukaryota; Metazoa; Chordata; Lepidosauria; Squamata; Lacertidae
Source: RNAcentral
GAGAAAUGAAACAGCUCUCUCUCUCUCUCUCUCUCUCUCUCUCUCUCUCUCUCUCUGUGUGUGUGUGUGUGUGAGAGAGAGAGAGAGAGAGAGAGAGAGAGAAGCUAGUUUUCAGAG